Molecule: long non-coding RNA, 1141 nt
Organism: Amphiprion ocellaris (clown anemonefish)
Lineage: Eukaryota; Metazoa; Chordata; Actinopteri; Pomacentridae
Source: Ensembl
AUAACAACCGUGAGCAUCUGAAUUCUGGCGGGGAUACAUGGAGCAGAGGUCUGGUCUCCUCCCCGAGGAAAGCUGGAGCAUCACGCCUCAUUUCCUGCAUUCAGGACAACAGCCUACAAAACAACAAGGCCAGUCUUACAAGUCUGAAUAAUAGUCGAACAACAGCCGGCUAAUAAUGAAGACUCAUUCCUUCGAGGCGAGACGCUGCAGGAGAAAUCCUCUUUCUUUAAAAUACGUUGGGCAGUUUUGAGAUCUGAAGCGGACAACAGCCUGCAAAACAACAACAAGGACAACAGCCUGAAAAACCACAAGAGUCUUCCCAAAAGUGAAAUCUUAAAGGCAUUUUUGGUUAAAAACCCUGCGGCCUCUCUGAAAUUUCCAUGAGAAGAUCGAUAUCCGUGAGUUAAAUAUGCAACCCAGAGGUGAUCGCCUCAGUGCAGAGCCAGAAAACGGGAUGGAAACAGAUGGUCUGGCUCUGAAAGCACCUCUGGAGAGCUCUAACCACAUCUCACCCAACGACAAUUUAUUCAUCCAUGUUUCCCGCUCUGACAACAAGACUCCGGGAGAAUCAAUCCGCCGAUCUGUUGCUCAACAAGACAAAGUAGCGGCGCUUAACUACCCCCUGAAACCACAAACUGUCAUCUUUACGUUAUAAUUUACGGAAUAAACACGCAACAUGCUCUGAGUUAGUUAGCGAGCUUCAGGGUGUUUCCAACCACUUUCAUACAGCUUUUCUACGGUUUAAACUCGGAGAAAAGACUCCUACAAACAGCCGGAAGCAACAAAAUAAACUUCAGCUCAUGUUGACGUUUUGUCAGAUUACAAUGAGACAAUUUCUUCCCUUUUUUUACAUUUUAUGGACAUGCACGUGAACCAGAAAGGCCUAGAAACUGCCUUUGAGAUGUUUCAUGUUUGUGUUGAAAUGUGAGAAAACCCUUUCUUAAAUCACUUCUAGUACAAAAUCGCUUGUUUGUCUUUAUUUGUUUGUGCUCCUGCAAGCAGUUUAGACUUGUUUUGUGUUGAAAGUAAAGCAGAAACUACUUACAAGGUCCAACUUAUUGCAACUUUCAUUUGAAAAACAUCAAACGUGUCAGAUUAAUGCAAAUGAGGGCAUGUCAGAAAGGAGCUAUAGUAUUUAUGC